RNAcentral lists this ribosomal RNA (327 nucleotides) under Salmonella enterica. Its description in RNAcentral is "partial 23S ribosomal RNA". It matches the Rfam family "Bacterial large subunit ribosomal RNA", at positions 2604 to 2925 of the family's 2925-position model. Lineage: Bacteria; Pseudomonadati; Pseudomonadota; Gammaproteobacteria; Enterobacterales; Enterobacteriaceae. The record is from RNAcentral.
GCUGGGUUUAGAACGUCGUGAGACAGUUCGGUCCCUAUCUGCCGUGGGCGCUGGAGAACUGAGGGGGGCUGCUCCUAGUACGAGAGGACCGGAGUGGACGCAUCACUGGUGUUCGGGUUGUCAUGCCAAUGGCACUGCCCGGUAGCUAAAUGCGGAAGAGAUAAGUGCUGAAAGCAUCUAAGCACGAAACUUGCCCCGAGAUGAGUUCUCCCUGAGACUUUAAGUCUCCUGAAGGAACGUUGAAGACGACGACGUUGAUAGGCCGGGUGUGUAAGCGCAGCGAUGCGUUGAGCUAACCGGUACUAAUGAACCGUGAGGCUUAACCUU